This 73-nucleotide transfer RNA is filed under the name Ictidomys tridecemlineatus (thirteen-lined ground squirrel). Its description in RNAcentral is "Spermophilus tridecemlineatus (thirteen-lined ground squirrel) tRNA". It matches the Rfam family "tRNA". From Rfam's summary of the family: Transfer RNA (tRNA) molecules are approximately 80 nucleotides in length. Their secondary structure includes four short double-helical elements and three loops (D, anti-codon, and T loops). Lineage: Eukaryota; Metazoa; Chordata; Mammalia; Rodentia; Sciuridae. The record is from Rfam by way of RNAcentral.
GGUGAUACAGCUCAGUUGGUAGAGUGCUUGCCUCACAUGCACAAGGCCCUGGGUUCAAUCCCCAGUACCCCCC